AGUGAACGCUGGCGGUAGGCCUAACACAUGCAAGUCGAACGGCAGCACAGUAAGAGCUUGCUCUUACGGGUGGCGAGUGGCGGACGGGUGAGGAAUACAUCGGAAUCUACUUUUUCGUGGGGGAUAACGUAGGGAAACUUACGCUAAUACCGCAUACGACCUACGGGUGAAAGCAGGGGAUCUUCGGACCUUGCGCGAUUGAAUGAGCCGAUGUCGGAUUAGCUAGUUGGCGGGGUAAAGGCCCACCUAGGCGACGAUCCGUAGCAGGUAUGAGAGGAUGGGCAGCCACACUGGGAGUGAGACACGGUCCAUACUCCUACGGGAGGGAGCAGUGGGGAAUAGGGGACAAUGGGCGCAAACCUGAGCCAGCCAUACCGCGGGGGUGAAGAAGGCCUUCGGGUUGGAAAGCCCUUUUGUUGGGAAAGAAAAGCAGCAGGUUAAUACCCCGCUGUUCUGACGGUACCCAAAGAAUAAGCACCGGCUAACUUCGUG
This 492-nucleotide ribosomal RNA is filed under the name uncultured bacterium. RNAcentral describes it as "partial 16S ribosomal RNA". It matches the Rfam family "Bacterial small subunit ribosomal RNA", at positions 29 to 507 of the family's 1533-position model. The record is from RNAcentral.